UUCAUUUACUUUUCUCCUAGUAACUCCCAACUUACACACACUUCACACACAAACUUUUAUCCUCUCAAGAAACUCUUUCUUCCUCCUCUUUCUCUCAAAUUUUCGGCCAACAAUAAAUCAAGGAGAAACACCACCAAAAAUCAAUCCAAACAUAUUAAUAAUAAGGGUUUUAGGCUAGAUUAUUAAAGGGUUAAUCCAAGCUAAGGUUUAAGGGUGUUUUUCAAGCAAAGAAAUGGUGAUAUUAGGGCUAGAAGGUCACGAAAAUUCUGCACCAUUUCACCAUCAAAAAGUAUUCUUCAAGGGUUUAGAGCAGUAAAUAGCUUUAAGGACCGCCUCAUGGACGAUGUACUUGUUUGUUGUUCGAUGGACUUGUAAUGCAAACAAUUUGUCUUUUAUUUAUGGAUUAUGGUUAUGUAAUGGAUUUAAAAUGUCAACUUGAACUUAUUAUCUUUUGAAUUCGAAUGGCAUUUGAAACUCAAUGUUAAUGUUUUAUCUUUAAAUC
This is a long non-coding RNA of Erigeron canadensis, 502 nucleotides long. RefSeq lists it as uncharacterized. The record is from RefSeq and is a predicted model, not a curated record. Lineage: Eukaryota; Viridiplantae; Streptophyta; Magnoliopsida; Asterales; Asteraceae. The transcript is spliced from 2 exons.